Molecule: ribosomal RNA, 312 nt
Filed under: uncultured soil bacterium
Lineage: Bacteria
Description: bacterial SSU rRNA
Rfam family: Bacterial small subunit ribosomal RNA
Source: RNAcentral
AGGACGAACGCUGGCGGCGUGCUUAACACAUGCAAGUCGAACGAUGAAAGAGGAGCUUGCUCCUCUGGAUUAGUGGCGAACGGGUGAGUAACACGUGAGCAAUCUGCCCCUGACUCCGGAAUAACUACGGGAAACUGUAGCUAAUACCGGAUAUGCGCCGAACAGGCAUCUGUAUCGGGUGGAAAGAUUUCGGCAGGGAUGAGCUCGCGGCCUAUCAGCUUGUUGGUGAGGUACGGCUCACCAAGGCGACGACGGGUAGCCGGCCUGAGAGGGUGACCGGCACAUUGGGACUGACGACACGGCCCAGACUCC